RNAcentral lists this ribosomal RNA (750 nucleotides) under uncultured bacterium. RNAcentral describes it as "bacterial SSU rRNA". It matches the Rfam family "Bacterial small subunit ribosomal RNA", at positions 28 to 776 of the family's 1533-position model. The record is from RNAcentral.
GAUGAACGCUAGCGGCAGGCCUAACACAUGCAAGUCGAGGGGUAAAAAAGUGCUUGCACUUUUGAGACCGGCGCACGGGUGAGUAACGCGUAUGGAAUCUGCCUUGUACAGGGGAAUAGCCCAGGGAAACUUGGAUUAAUGCCCCAUAGCAUCAAGGAACGGCAUCGUUCUUUGAUUAAAGAUUUAUCGGUACAAGAUGAUCAUGCGUACCAUUAGCUAGUUGGUGUGGUAACGGCACACCAAGGCUACGAUGGUUAGGGGCCCUGAGAGGGGGAUCCCCCACACUGGUACUGAGACACGGACCAGACUCCUACGGGAGGCAGCAGUGAGGAAUAUUGGACAAUGGGCGAGAGCCUGAUCCAGCCAUGCCGCGUGCAGGAAGACGGCCCUAUGGGUUGUAAACUGCUUUUACAGAGGAAGAAACACCCCCACGUGUGGGGGCUUGACGGUACUCUGCGAAUAAGGAUCGGCUAACUCCGUGCCAGCAGCCGCGGUAAUACGGAGGAUCCAAGCGUUAUCCGGAAUCAUUGGGUUUAAAGGGUCCGUAGGCGGGCAGCUAAGUCAGUGGUGAAAGUCUGCAGCUCAACUGUAGAAAUGCCAUUGAUACUGGUUGUCUUGAAUCGUUGUGAAGUGGCUAGAAUAUGUGGUGUAGCGGUGAAAUGCUUAGAUAUCACAUAGAAUACCGAUUGCGAAGGCAGGUCACUAACAACGUAUUGACGCUGAUGGACGAAAGCGUGGGGAGCGAACAGG